This 59-nucleotide microRNA precursor is filed under the name Spodoptera frugiperda (fall armyworm). Its description in RNAcentral is "partial precursor microRNA 35". Lineage: Eukaryota; Metazoa; Arthropoda; Insecta; Lepidoptera; Noctuidae. The record is from RNAcentral.
GCAUCAAAGUCGGCUUGUCAUAGGUCAUAACGUAGCUAUCACAGCCAGCUUUGAUGAGC